UACGUAGGUGGCGAGCGUUGUCCGGAAUUACUGGGCGUAAAGGGCGUGUAGGCGGCCUUUUAAGUCAGACGUGAAAUCCCUGGGCUUAACCCAGGAACUGCGUUUGAAACUGAAGGGCUUGAGGACCGGAGAGGGCAGUGGAAUUCCCAGUGUAGCGGUGAAAUGCGUAGAUAUUGGGAGGAACACCAGUGGCGAAGGCGACUGCCUGGACGGCACCUGACGCUGAGGCGCGAAAGCUAGGGGAGCAAACGGG
RNAcentral lists this ribosomal RNA (253 nucleotides) under uncultured bacterium. Its description in RNAcentral is "partial 16S ribosomal RNA". It matches the Rfam family "Bacterial small subunit ribosomal RNA", at positions 524 to 776 of the family's 1533-position model. The record is from RNAcentral.